AACGAUAUUUUUCCGCGUCCUGUCGCGAGGGAUCACAUUUUUUUUCGAGGUGCGACAGGCUGGCGACUCUGCUGGGGACCCAUGCUCCAAGCAAGAGAGAGUGAAGCCAAGCUUAGUUCAAUAUCUAUAUUGAAUGUUAAUCAUGGUUGUUUGUUUGUUAUCUUUAUUCUGUUAUUAUUAUUCUGUGUAAUUAUUAUUGUGGUUUAUUUCUUAUGACACUAUUGGGGUUCUCUGAUGGUUGGUACUUUGUGAGAU
Molecule: long non-coding RNA, 255 nt
Filed under: Lathyrus oleraceus (garden pea)
Lineage: Eukaryota; Viridiplantae; Streptophyta; Magnoliopsida; Fabales; Fabaceae
Description: Pisum sativum (pea) long non-coding RNA (PSAT_LNC017975)
Source: RNAcentral